This 433-nucleotide ribosomal RNA is filed under the name uncultured bacterium. RNAcentral describes it as "partial 16S ribosomal RNA". It matches the Rfam family "Bacterial small subunit ribosomal RNA", at positions 29 to 507 of the family's 1533-position model. The record is from RNAcentral.
AGCGAACGCUGGCGGCAGGCCUAACACAUGCAAGUCGAACGAACUCUUCGGAGUUAGUGGCGGACGGGUGAGUAACACGUGGGAACGUGCCUUUUGGUUCGGAAUAACUCAGGGAAACUUGUGCUAAUACCGAAUGUGCCCUUCGGGGGAAAGAUUUAUCGCCAUUAGAGCGGCCCGCGUCUGAUUAGCUAGUUGGUGAGGUAACGGCUCACCAAGGCGACGAUCAGUAGCUGGUCUGGGAGGAUGACCAGCCACACUGGGACUGAGACACGGCCCAGACUCCUACGGGAGGCAGCAGUGGGGAAUCUUGCGCAAUGAGCGAAAGCCUGACGCAGCCAUGCCGCGUGAAUGAUGAAGGUCUUAGGAUUGUAAAAUUCUUUCACCGGAGACGAUAAUGACGGUACCCGGAGAAGAAGCCCCGGCUAACUUCGUG